CUUCAUAGCCGUACUACCCUGAACGUGCCUGAUCUCAUCUGAUCUCCUAAGCUAAGCAGUGUCGGGCCUGGUUAGUACUUGAAUGGGAGACCACUUAAGAAUACCAGGUGCUGUAGGCA
This is a non-coding RNA of Pteropus alecto (black flying fox), 119 nucleotides long. Lineage: Eukaryota; Metazoa; Chordata; Mammalia; Chiroptera; Pteropodidae. The record is from Rfam.